This is a non-coding RNA of Arachis ipaensis, 430 nucleotides long. NCBI's taxonomy places the organism in Eukaryota, Viridiplantae, Streptophyta, Magnoliopsida, Fabales, Fabaceae. The record is from RefSeq and is a predicted model, not a curated record.
AGAAAUCUUUCAUCUUUAUUGAAUCACUCUAACUUGUUGAAGCUAUCAUCUUUUAACUGCACAUUUUUGGGCAAGAAAAAAAAAUAGAAGUUUUACUUUGUUAUAAAUCAAAGGUCAUAAUUGAAAUUUGGAGCUAAGAAUGGAUCAAUAGUUCAAAAUUUUGAAGUGUAAGAAAAAGGAAAAAAGAGAAGCAACUAGGUAAAGAUUCAAGCCAAUACUAUAAUCCAUGAAAUGAUUGCUGUUGUCUCAUCUUUUAUCUGCGUCUCUGAUAUGAUUUAUGGGAAAGAAGAACAAAGUCAAAGGUGUUCAACCAAGCUCAAGUUUUAGAAGCUAUAAGAGUAAACGGCUAAAAAUUGAAAUAGAGUUAGCACACUAUUUGGGUCUUCAUAGUUUUCUAGCUAUACCUUCUUCUCCUUCAUGAUUUUACAUU